This is a long non-coding RNA of Notolabrus celidotus (New Zealand spotty), 1768 nucleotides long. RefSeq lists it as uncharacterized. The transcript has 5 exons. NCBI's taxonomy places the organism in Eukaryota, Metazoa, Chordata, Actinopteri, Labriformes, Labridae. The record is from RefSeq and is a predicted model, not a curated record.
CAAAACAAAAGCAGCAGGCGUACAACAUUAACACAAAAGAUUAAACCUGAAUUAAAUGAAGGGAGUUAAACACUCAUGGAGGGUGGGAUUGAGACAGUGCCCCUCCUCCUAGCGUACCACUAGGUGUCUCGUAAAGAAGAUACAACCCUCUUCUCCAGCGACGGACAUCAAGCAAGAGCAACACUGUACAGCCAGGAGCAGGAGUGUUGUCGAUGAUCCAGAGGUUGGUGGGCUUGGCAAAGAAGGGCCAGGGGGACUUUGGACCACUGGCUUCAGCCUUAUAGACCUUGGGAGCUUCAGCUGGACCUACUCUUUUCACAGGGAACGGGACAAUGAACAGUGAGAGGGGCAGCUUGUAGGACUCAACUUGCAGUGGAGAGCUGCUCUGGCUUGACACCGUGUGUUGGCGCCACGUCAUAUAUGCUUGGACAGAGCAGGAACAUGGUGUUUGGUGGCCAUAAAGACACUGGAAGAGCCACCAGAACCAUCUACAAGAGAAAGAUAGUGUGCAAGUUACCCAGUCACCAUGCAAACAACACAAGAUUCUGAGAGGAUGGGUUCAGGUGGAGCUUAUCUUUGGCUUGCUGAUUUAAGAGCUACGCCUGAAGGAGGAAGUUGAGCCUCUCGUCUGCAGCUUCCCUGACAGAUAAUAAAAAAGACUGACUGAUACUCAUCAAUCGCCAACUUGUGCCUAGGAUCCAGAUUGCCGGAGCUGAGUCUGGGCAGAAGUGCCAGUGGAUGCACACACAUUGACUAGAGUGAAACCACAGCUCGACUGUUGUGGCGAAGCAGGGACGGCCUGAACAUGCAUCGGGUAGAAGUUCCCUGUUACCACAUCUUAUUUAUAGUUAAAGUUAAGACUGACUGUAUUCUACUCUUUAAUGCGCCUGCUGCUUUAUUUUCACCUCCCAUAUUUUGUUUCUUCCCUACAGUUUGUAACAAUGUUUGUAUUUAAUUUCCGCUGCAUGUUGGGCUGACAGAGAGUUACAGUCAGAAUGAUUAAUCCACGACGCAUGGAUAAUAUUCAGGACACUGUCUCAGUGGCUUCAGAGUAUCAUAUCAGGGAUAAAAACAUCCCCAGCACCACCCACACAAUUUCUACAUCUAAUCAGGUUAAUCAUCACAGAUGUAUGAUCCUCAUUCAGCAGUUUGUUUAACCUAAUACUCAUACUCAUCAGUGAAUCCAGUCACAGCUUCCUCUCUUUCUGUUUUGUGUGGAAUCAGAGCUGUAAUCACUUCCAUAUUCUGAUCCCACCUGGUGGAUCCAUAUUUCCUCCCGUCUGUAUCAGCAGCAGGCAGCGAGCCAGUCAGACCGCGUGUGAAAGGUCGACCGUCGAUCUGAGUCAUUACUCACUUUGUAUCAGUGUAACACAUCAGUGACGCAGUUUAUGCCCCAAGGUCAGAGCACAGUGAUGGAUUAUGAGUUUACCCGGCUUUGAACUGCACGAGACAGAGACAGAUUCAGUGAAUCAGAGGGAGGCCAUUUCCUCCGCAAACUUUUACACUGAAACAUCAAAGCGGCCGUAUGAUGAAUGACCACCGUGUCCUCCUGAGUGGGACGAUGAAGCACAGUCGCCAUCACUUUGAGCAUCAUGUGAACAUAUUAUUCUUCUGUUUGACAUCACUAAGACAUAACAAAAGGGCACACACGCCAAUGUGGACUCACAAAAAUACUCUGAGCGCCUCAGUAUGCGGUGGUACUUCUGGUAAAUCAAGAGCUCACACCUUGAGAAAAAUGAGGACGAAAGCAGAAAAAAAUUUAUGUGAA